Molecule: ribosomal RNA, 207 nt
Filed under: uncultured bacterium
Lineage: Bacteria
Description: partial 16S ribosomal RNA
Rfam family: Bacterial small subunit ribosomal RNA
Source: RNAcentral
CGCGUAGGCGGUUCGGUCAGUCAGAUGUGAAAGCCCUGGGCUCAACCUGGGAACUGCAUUUGAUACUGCUGAACUAGAGUGUGGUAGAGGGAAGUGGAAUUCCGGGUGUAGCGGUGAAAUGCGUAGAGAUCCGGAGGAACAUCAGUGGCGAAGGCGGCUUCCUGGACCAACACUGACGCUGAGGUGCGAAAGCGUGGGUAGCAAACA